RNAcentral lists this ribosomal RNA (480 nucleotides) under uncultured bacterium. RNAcentral describes it as "partial 16S ribosomal RNA". It matches the Rfam family "Bacterial small subunit ribosomal RNA", at positions 28 to 523 of the family's 1533-position model. The record is from RNAcentral.
AAUGAACGUUGGCGGCGUGGAUUAGGCAUGCAAGUCGUGCGAUAACCCCGCAAGGGGGGAAAGCGGCGAAAGGGAGAGUAACGCGUGGGUACCUGCCCCUUGGUCCGGAAUAGCUGCGGGAAACUGCAGGUAAUGCCGGAUAAUAUCCUCGGAUCAAAGGUGUGAUUCCGCCGAGGGAGGGGCCCGCGUUCUAUUAGCUAGUUGGUAGGGUAAUGGCCUACCAAGGCGACGAUGGAUACCGGGUGUGAGAGCAUGACCCGGCUCACUGGGACUGGGACACGGCCCAGACACCUACGGGUGGCUGCAGUGGAGAAUGUUCGGCAAUGGGGGCAAGCCUGACCGAGCGACGCCGCGUGCGGGAUGAAGGCCUUCGGGUUGUAAACCGCUGUCGUAGAGGAGGAAAUGCCAUGGGGUUCUCUCCAUGGUUUGACCUAUUCUAGGAGGAAGGACGGGCUAAGUUCGUGCCAGCCGCCGCCGUAA